Molecule: long non-coding RNA, 4860 nt
Organism: Canis lupus familiaris (dog)
Lineage: Eukaryota; Metazoa; Chordata; Mammalia; Carnivora; Canidae
Exons: 4
Source: RefSeq, a predicted model, not a curated record
AUUCCGAGAACUCUCCUGACUGGUCCUUGAGAGCAGAGUUAGGAGCAGUAAGCUGAAGAAACCCCAGGAAAAGCAGGACACAUUUCCACUAGCCAUGUAGCGGUUUGGGAACAAUCUGUGACAACUCCCAGAUGAGUGACUUGUUUUCCUCUUUUUAUUCAUAGUUUUAUAACACUGGCAUACACAUUAAGGCAGGUCUGGCAGGUGUAGUUCUGGAUUUGGUUUCCUUAAAGAGCUUAAUCAAUGACAGUGAAUCUCAACUGUCAUUCACUCACUUAGAAACUCAACAUCAGCAUUGAAUUAAGACAAAAUUGAGAGAAUCUUCCGUUCAAACCAAGAAGGUACAGAACAAUACCUAGAAAUGCAAAGCCUGUAAUGAUAGGGGGAAAAGCAGGUUCACUAAAACACUUCACUAACUGUAACCCCUAAACUUCUUAUGGUUCUACUUCUAAUCUAAUGCCUAUAAAUCCAGCUCAAUGUAUAAUCAAGUUGUAUUUCUUCCUCCAUAGCCUCCUGCAGCUUAUGUUCAGAUAAGUGCAAUUACAUACUCUCAACUGACCAAAGCUUUGAAUAAUUGUUUAGUCCCAAGCAAAGUGACAAUGAUAAGAUCUCUAGGGACAACGCAUGAUAGAGUCCAGUUCAUCCUCAUCAGAGCACCAGAGGACACAGCCAUCAGUAGAGAAACUAAGCGAGUGCUGCGGAAGUGGACUGACCAGCUGAGGGCUGGGCCUCCUGAUCCUCAUGCUCCAUAAGGGCCCUGGGUGCCAGGUGACAUCUACACUGCCAAGAGCUGGGAAGGAAUGAAACCCCUUUUGAAGGAGGUGUCUUCAUAAGAAAGGAAGAUGGUGGAAAUCCAUCCUCCAUUACUUCCCUGGAUAUUCAGAGUAACUCUGGGAGACAGGUGUGGUCACCAGUCCCACACCUCGCAUCGGGGACCCCAGGCACAGGAUCGGGUGCCACCAAGGCUCAUCAGCUAGUACCUGGGAUUUGAACCCAAGGCUAUGUCUGGAGCCUGUGCUCUUUCAACUGUCCCAGAAAGAGAUGGUCCAGAGAGGUAAGCAAGAAUGUUAUAUCCCUCUGUAUUCAUUUGCUUGUCAAAUACUUAUUGAGCACCUACCAUGUGCCAGGUCAGGAGCCAGGAUCCAAGGAGGAAAAGCAAACAGAUGGGAUUCCUACUUCACCAGAGCCAACCAGCAGGCCUCCCUGUGGAGCAGGGAGAUGGGCAUGAAGUGAAGCUCCUCACAAGUGACUAAUUACAGGUUGUGACUUUGUGGAACUCGGUGGAAGCAGAGUGAUAAGGUUCUCUCAAAUAGAAAAGGACAACGACCUCACUUUCCUCCCAGCACGCCUCAUAAUGACGAUGAGGACACUGCCAGGAAUAUCAAGAACUCUAUGCAGGGUGUGCCGCUGUAUGCCAGCCCAUGUGCCAAGCACCUUCGCAGACUGUUCACUCCUACCAGUAAUCCCACAGUUGAGUCUCUCUUGUUAUCCCCAUUUUUUGGAUGAGGAAACCAAGAUCUCAAGAAAUUAAGGGCAUUCCCCAGGUUUCAUAGGGACAGGGCAGAGUCAUGUCAGAUCUUAUACUUUCUUAAAGCUUGCUUCCUUUUCUUUGUGUCCCAGGAGCAUGUCUAUGUAACAUAAAAAAGGAUGCCACUCAUGCUUUCAUUGCAAUAUUGGGAAAGUGGUGCCACAUAUAAACACAGGGCAUAUUGCAGGGCACCCAGCACAGAGUGACCAGACUUGGGGCUAGGGGAGCAGGCCACCUACUCUACAGUGAAUCUGCACCUUUCUAAGCAUAGACAGAGCCUUUAACUUCUGUAGGCUAAUGAUGAUAAUACCAAUAACAAUGAUCACAGCACCCUGCCCUCCACAUGGUCACCUCACAAAAUCUUUGGAACAACUUGGGUAUAAGUACUAUUAUUCCCUUUCCAGAAAGGAAGAAACUCAGAUAGCAAAAGUUUGUGUACCUCACAUAGUUUAGACCUGAGAAUCAGAACGCAGGUCCUCAGGCCUCCAAAGCCUAUGCUCUGGCCACAGUGGUACACAGCAACUCUGCAAAAUGAAACAAGGUACAGAAGUUUCUCUUCCAGAUCUCUUGUGCAAUAAUUAUAGGGUGAAAAAAGCUACAAAUUCAGUUCCUUGUUUUAAAAAAAAAAAAUUUAACUAGGCCAGGUAAACAGAAUGAUAUUUGUACUAGCUUGGUCCAACUCUAAAGACUCAUAAUGGAACAUCUGAAUUAGGUCAGAAAGGACCAGGUUACCCAUUAAUUGUGUCCCAGCUUAUGGUGCCGGUUGGCUCUGGGCACAAAGGCAGCCUACACAGCCCCUCCUUAGCUGCCCAGAACAUACCAGGAGCAGCAGAAAUGGGCCACAUUCCCAGGCAAUCUCCAUUGUGCCCACUCCACAUGGUACCCAGAGCAGAGGAAAAGGGGUCAUGUUAUAGCAUAUGAUUGUCAGCCCACUCUGCAGGAAAGGUGAGCCUGUCCCACCCAGGCUUCUUUCCCUUUGUGGCUAGUUCUCCUUAUGGGUGACAAGGAGGAUCCCACUGAAGUCAUCCAAAAUAUUUACAACCUGAGGCCUGGAUCACAAGGAAAGAAAUCAGGCAACCCUCCCUCAUUGCUGCUAUCACAUUGACAACCAAAGUUCCAGCAAAUUUGGAUGGUCAAUCCAAGAAGCAGUUCGAGCAUGUCCCAAACAGAAAACAUGUGAUUGGGUAAAAUGGCUCUCAGCUCCCAAGGCCUCUCCUCUUCAUGGCUUCUGCAGCUCUGUCCCCCUCACCUGCCCAGUGAGAGCUCGGCAGCACCCACCCUGACAGCCCCCCAGUAACAGCCAGCUCUGAUAAGAGCCUCUUAGAUUCUCUAUGUACACAACUGAUAAGACUUGCUGGAGUUUUCUCUUUUUACCACUACUCCUAGGAGGAAGAAAUCCCUAGAAAUGGAAUUUUAGAGGCCAGAAAUUUACAGAGGCCUAUAAAGCAGUUGAUCAUUCUGCAUAAUCACAAGACUGUCCCUGUCUAAAAGAGUAAAUUUCCAAUAAACCAGACUGAUGUGGCACUUUGAACUGAGGGUCCCAAGACCUGGGUUGCACACCUGUCAGCUGUAUGCACCUAGGCAGACCCCUAGGUCAAGACUGAGACUGCCCCAGUGCCUAUGGGGCUUGUGCCUGACACACUACAGGACUUUAUGUGGGACUUUCUCAGUUGCUAUGCAGAUGUAGUGACAUGUGCUGAAGGAGGCAGAAAGAUUCUUCAAAAAUAAGAACAAAAAAUAUUUUCCCCUCUGAGUGCAGAGGGCAUGCUGUUAGACCUUCGCAGAUUCCAAGGACAGUUCUCCUAGAAUCUCAGAGUAUCUCCAAGUAAAUGGCCCUUACCACCACUGGAUUCAUUUAGACUGACUCGCACAGCAUGUGUGUUGGAGAGUCACAGCCACCCUUGAGACUGGAUUUGGUGAAGAACAAACCAACUGGGACAGCUACAGAGGCAGCUCUGGCCAAGGGAGGAACACCGACCCCAGGCUUCACCUGCUCUCCCACAAAACCCUCAGAUGGAUGGCACCUCCACCCUCCGCCCUCUAUGGCCUUCCUAUACAUCUGGGCAUCCUGUGUCAUCUCCUGCAAUGAACUUUCCCAGACUAACCAUAUCUCUUCUCCAGAGUCGUACCGACUACACUCCCAUAGUAGCACUUGGUAUGAGCUUCUAAUAUGGAACUUGUCACAUGAUAGAUAUUUGCUGCCUUGUCUCCACACUGCCGAAAUUUCCUGUGGCAGGAAUGGUUUUCUAUGCUCACGUGCAGUCUCACACAUACAACUGCACAGAUCCUGAGGAAAAACAAGCAUGCCUUUUAUGCCUGCGGUAUCACCAAGAAGUGCGAGGUCCUGUACUAGAAAUAGCAAAAGGUCUUUCUGAACAAAAUCUAAAGGCCAGUAAGAGUUCUAUGAGCAAAAUCAUCUAUAGCAAAAGGCCCUCAAAACCAACUUAUGUUUGCCAUAAAAUACGAAUGUGUUUUUGUAGAAGGCACCUGAAGGCACGAUAUUUAAAUAACAUCUCAUCAUUCCAUUGGAUUUAAAAAGCCAGAGACAUAAUAUUUCAGUUUUAAGAUCACAAAAUUGAGACUGAAUUCCUUGAAGACUCCAUUGUCAGCCAUGAAGUUACCUUUACCAGGAAACAGAUCUGAACAUUAUAACAAAAUCUCCCAGAUAUUUCAGGCCAGAGCUGUUUAAAAAAAGAUGUCUAAAAAUUCCGUUGUCGUUGAGAGUUCUCCAAUCAUAGCCAUGGUUUGUAUGUUUUUUGUCUUUGUUGGUGUUGGAGAGCAUCAGAAUUCCACUACUAAAAUCACCCAAGCCUCCAGAGAGCUCAGAAAACUAAUUCACUUGAAAUCAGUGUAAUUUAUUUCCAGUUUGCUCUACACAAUUGACAAGAAUCAAAUGCAUCAAACUUCAGACUUAAAUUCCACCUCUGCCACCACUGGUUCCAGGACAACAAACCUACUUCUCUCUACUUGUUGUCUAACUUAAAGGAAAACACAGGGUUUUUUCUGAAGACUGUAUAUCUUCCAAGAGAUUUCAACAAGAGUUGUCAUUUGUUUUUGUUUUUUUUAAGUUUUGCACUUUUGUAGAUUUGGCAACCACAAACAACCUAAUGAACAAAAUAUAAUAUUCAAAACCAAUGACUUUUUCUCUGACAAAUUAUUUCUCUCCCUCAAAAAAAUCAUUAUGCAAACUUAGACUUACUGUAUCUACAAAUAAAAUAAGCAUACAUUCCAUUUUGGUGAUGGUCUCCUUAACAGGUUGUGUAGGUGUCUCUGGGUUCCACUGUUACAGAUUUCACUAGGACUGUUCUGCACACCAUCACAGCCAAAUAGGA